GGUUCUUAGCAUAGGAGGUCUUCCCAUGCUAAGAAGUCCUCCCAUGCCAAGAACUCC
RNAcentral lists this microRNA precursor (57 nucleotides) under Homo sapiens (human). Its description in RNAcentral is "Hsa-Mir-2116_pre stem-loop". The record is from RNAcentral. Lineage: Eukaryota; Metazoa; Chordata; Mammalia; Primates; Hominidae.